RNAcentral lists this non-coding RNA (29 nucleotides) under Rattus norvegicus (Norway rat). The record is from RNAcentral. Lineage: Eukaryota; Metazoa; Chordata; Mammalia; Rodentia; Muridae.
UAAUGAUCAAUGUGGAAGGGCCUGGCCCC